CCUCUCUUGUUCGCCUAGCUAAAACAAGAAACCCGACAUUUUGAGACAUUCCCGAAAAGAACAAAACCUUCCACUGAACGACUGAGGCAACGAGAAGAACUAGAAAGGUCCGGUUUCUGUGCAACCUGCCACCCUAUAUUAAGUGAAAGUCUAUGGGGACACAACGCCAAUCAGGAGCCUCUUCUGAAGAGGGUUUCUGCGUUGCGGUAGUGGGGAUUUUAGUGGCAGUAAUCCUCUGGUGUGCUUUUCGUAUAGACCGUAUGAAAAGAGAGAACGAGAGACUGACAAGCGAAAAGGAGGAUCUAAAAAGAGAGAACGAGAGACUGGGAAAAGAAAAUGGGGGACUUCUGGAGCAAAAUGGCA
Molecule: long non-coding RNA, 363 nt
Organism: Acipenser ruthenus (sterlet)
Lineage: Eukaryota; Metazoa; Chordata; Actinopteri; Acipenseriformes; Acipenseridae
Exons: 6
Source: RefSeq, a predicted model, not a curated record